UACUUCGUUUGCCGUCUCUUGGUUGCCA
This 28-nucleotide small RNA is filed under the name Bombyx mori (domestic silkworm). Its description in RNAcentral is "piRNA piR-bmo-1521207". The record is from RNAcentral. Lineage: Eukaryota; Metazoa; Arthropoda; Insecta; Lepidoptera; Bombycidae.